GACGAACGCUGGCGGCGCGCCUAACACAUGCAAGUCGAACGGAGUUUACAAGCGGAAGUUUUCGGAUGGAAGCUUGUAAACUUAGUGGCGGACGGGUGAGUAACACGUGAGCAACCUGCCUAUCAGAGGGAAAAGGAGCAAUCCGCUUUGAGAUGGCCUCGCGUCCGAUUAGCUGGUUGGUGAGGUAACGGCCCACCAAGGCGACGAUCGGUAGCCGGACUGAGAGGUUGAACGGCCACAUUGGGACUGAGACACGGCCCAAACUCCUACGGGAGGCAGCAGUGGGGAAUAUUGCACAAUGGAGGAAACUCUGAUGCAGCGACGCCGCGUGAGCGAUGAAGUAUUUCGGUAUGUAAAGCUCUAUCAGCAGGGAAGAUAAUGACGGUACCUGAGUAAGAAGCUCCGGCUAAAUACGUG
RNAcentral lists this ribosomal RNA (417 nucleotides) under uncultured bacterium. RNAcentral's name for it is "bacterial SSU rRNA". It matches the Rfam family "Bacterial small subunit ribosomal RNA", at positions 28 to 507 of the family's 1533-position model. The record is from RNAcentral.